UACGGAGGGUGCAAGCGUUAUCCGGAUUUAGUGGGUUUAAAGGGUGCGUAGGUGGACAGGAAAGUCAGUGGUGAAAUCUUCGAGCUUAACUCGGAAACUGCCAUUGAUACUAUUUGUCUUGAAUACUUUGGAGGUAAGCGGAAUAUGUCAUGUAGCGGUGAAAUGCUUAGAUAUGACAUAGAACACCAAUUGCGAAGACAGCUUACUACACAGUUAUUGACACUGAGGCACGAAAGCGUGGGGAUCACACACG
This 253-nucleotide ribosomal RNA is filed under the name uncultured bacterium. RNAcentral describes it as "partial 16S ribosomal RNA". It matches the Rfam family "Bacterial small subunit ribosomal RNA", at positions 524 to 776 of the family's 1533-position model. The record is from RNAcentral.